AGUAGGGUAGGGAUAUGUUGGUAGUACCUGUUCAGGGUUAAAUAAGAUGAAUUUAGACAUCAAGUCCAUCUCAAUGCAAAUUGAUGUGUCUUAGAAUAGUGGUCAGUGUGGUGAAUGGAACAGCUGGCUCAAAUGGCAGUACCUGCAUGGGCACAUUGGUUGCGUACACGUUUGCAUACACAUUUUUUUGCUACUGGUUGAAGGCAGAGUUAUCCAAUCCCUGGCUUGGGUUGGGUUGGGUUAUCUGAAGAGUGGCUGGGUAAGAGAAGAUGCAAAGUCAUCCCAAACGAAAUAGCAGCACCAGUUACAUUGCCAAUAAUAUGUACAAGUAGGAUACCACUUAUUUCUAUUGUAGGACUUUGGCUCAAGAUAUACAAACAAUGAUCACUGUUAACUUGUCAUUCAUUGUGCAAGUAGGAGUGAAACUGUAUUUAGUGAUGUAAGGGGCAGAGUUCCAUUCUCUCAGUGGUACAGUGUGAGCGGUAGGCCUACCUGUGCUGGCUGAUAGGUGUGUCUCUCUUUCUGCAGAAGCACACAGCGUGGACCAAUACUAGAGCCAAGACAGCUGCCGCUAUGACAACCACAAUAGCAAUGAUUCCGCCUGCAGGAAGAUAAAAGAGCCUCUCAAUACGAGGGUUGCACGGAACCCUUCCACAUCGAUUAACUGUUGGGGGUGCCGUCCUGCAGGAAGGUGUCAUCUGGACAGUGAGCGGAGGAGCCCGUGCAGUACUCUGGGAGGUCACACUCAUCCACCUGGGCCCUGCACUGCUUGGUGAACUGGAUGAACUGCAGUGAAACCAAGAGAACAGAUGUGAUGCCUAUGAAUAAAUAACAAGUAUAAGUUAUAUUGUCAGGAAGGCCGGUCAACACUAUGGGGGAGAGAAUGCCAGGAUAUGCUGUGUGACACACCCAAGGAUAGGCAGAACAAGGGGCUGGACAGAAGACCACUCCGGCUCCCAGGAUUGUGUACGGAGGAAUGGACAUUUUAUACAGGAGAAAUUCAUGAAGUGAAAUUCAUGAAGUGAAAGGCCACCUCCACAUCCGCAGUGUCGUCACUGCCCUGGUGUGUUCCUCCCAGGCGGCUGUGUGAGAGUGAUAGGGUAGUCUAAGGACAGGCCCUCUCCAAAGCUGGUUUCCCAGCAAAGGGAGAAAAACAAAUAUUGCACUCGAAAAUGGUCAGAUGUACAAGUGGAAAUUCCAUUUUUGUGGAAUUUUGUUCAUGGCCUGGCUUCUGGAGAAGCUGACGAAGUGCUUAGGCCUAUCCCAUAAUCCCUCAUCACCUAUUAUCAGGAAAUGAAGUUACUAUCUGAAUCUCUGUUGAAAAGUUGUCUCAUAGAAAACGUAUGCAUCGAAAGGUGCUUGCACUGCCCAGAUAAAAAACACUUACCUCUCCACACUUCAGACAGCAGUUGAACAUAGAAACUUUUGGACAUGUCAAACUCAAACGACUCCAUCCAACAAACACAGGACUGAUAGUGCACAUUGUUGGUGUUUGGAGUUUGUUGCCAUUUGUUGAUGAGGCAUGCGAGCAGCACAUAAAGACAGUGAUUGAUUUGAGAGUACGUGAGUGAAGUAGGUUUGCCCUGGAGUUCCAGUUGAAAGGCUAUCAUUCAAUCACAGGUGGAGCGCCACUUGGCACAGCUUGAGCUCUGUAAUCACAUCCUGCAUCUUUACCACAUUGGCAUAUCACCUCUGGCUGUGACUGAUGCCUGUGUAAUGUCCGUAUGAGAAUGAUCUACUCGCCUCAGAGUUCACUGUUUAAAAGGGUGGCACCAGGCUAUCCUACUGGGUAGGCCUAUACUAGCAAUGCACAAAAACAAUAAAGAAUAUAAAGAUUAAAAACAAUAAACAAUAAAGAAUAGUUUUCACAAGCUUGCAUAACAAUAUGCCUAUAUGUAGCCUAAUUUUUUCUGUUACUUCUGAGAUAUUAACACUAAAAAGUUCUGAAUGUCCCACCAUAACCCAAUUUACGUAACUGUCCCUAAAAAGAGGCAGGGCUUUAAAAUAUUUAGCCUACUGCUGCUAAAAUAUUCACUGGCUCUGGGUGGGGAGCUCAUCAUCAGAUGUGCAACAUGCUGAAACACGUUUUAGCGCAUUUUUGGAAUAAAAGUAGGAAAAUCUCAAAAGUGAAGCUGAAUAUUUAUGGAUUUAAAUUAUGUAGAACUGCUGUUAUUAUGUGAACCUAUAGCCUAUAUUUUAUUUCACUCCUGUACAGAUGUAGCCUACUAAUUGAAAUGAUAGAGGGUAAUCAAGGUUGAUCUUUUAAAAAGACAUAGGUUUAUCUAUGAUGGUAUCUGAGUAAAGCUUAGUUAUUAUUAUGUGACCGUUGGUUGCUGGGUUUCACAUUGCGUUUGCAAUGAACUCUAUUAACACUCCAGUCGGGCUGAAAUGGGCGGUGUUAGCAUGAGAGCGCCGCAGUAGCAGAUGAUGUCACUAUGGCAAGCCAUUUUAACAUUUACCCGCUAGACUGGAUAUGUAUUGCAGAUAUAUUUGCCUAGUCAAAACGAACAUUUUAGAUAUCCGCAAUUGAAUUCUUCCUAUCCAUAAUUGUCAUUUUAGAUAUCCAAAAAGACAUUUUUCCUAGGACAAAUGACGCCACAUUUGCCAUUCAUUUCAAUGGGGUUUAUCAUUACAGAUAUCUACAAUUCAGUUGCAGAUAUCCACUAUGUGAAUUACGGAUCUCUGCAAUUGAAUUGUAGAUCUCUGUAAUUCCAGUUAGAGAUAUCUACAAUUUGAUUCUGACUAGUCAUAACUCCAGUUGAAGAUAUCUUUAAUUCACCUCAAUUCAAGAUAUCUACAUGUUCCUUUUCAGAUAUCUUGAAUUAAGUUUUGAUCUUGAAUUUUAAGUUUUCAAAAUGACGUUGUAGAUAUCUCAAACUGGAGUUAGGGAUAGUCAUAAUUUGAUUGUAGAUAUCUAUUAUCAAGUUAUAGAUAUCUUGAAUGAGUUUUGAUUAGAGAUAUCUGAAAUUGGAGAUAUCUAUAACUUUCAUUCUGCCUAUAGCAAAAUGUAAUUAUAGAUAUCUUGAAUUAGAGUUUUGACUAGGCGAAAUGACGUUAGAGAUAUCUGUAUUGCUAUGCAAAUUAGGCCCGCAUCCCACUUUAGGCGGGAGCAGAGCGUGUUGUUGUUCAAAUCAUCAAAUCACAUAGCACCUGUUAACUGUUAACUUUGUAAUUAGCACUACUUAGCACCAUGUCAGAGCAGCCAGAGGGCGAAGGAGUUUUUAAUCGUCUUUUUAAUGCUGCAGCCUAUGCAAGACAGGAGCUGGCAGCAAGAAUUAAUGAUUCAAUGUUGCUUUGAUUUUUUCGAUUACAGCCAACACCAUUAUUAAUGGAGUUUCCUGUAGAUGGUACUAGUGCAUUUAGUAGCCUAGGCCUACUAAUUUAUGUAGGCUACGAAACAGAGAUCAAGCCAGUUAAUAACGUGAGAGUCUAAUAAACCACACGGUGUCCGAGUUUUAGUUAUUUUAGAUGUCAACAAGACAUUACAGCCAUGACUGCUUCUUCUUCUUCCAUUCAUAGAAAUAAGGAAAUAAGCCCACUUCUUCUUCGAUUAUGUUGGGGAGGGGAAACAUAACCCAACUCUGCCUACGGACAGAGAAUGUCUAAUAAGUAGACGGGCUCUGCUACGGAUCUAAAGAGCAACGUCUUGCACAAUAAUUUGCACUAGUCAUAAUGACGUUUGAGAUAUCUUCACUUUUACUCUGCCUAGUCAAAACUGAAUUAAAGAUAUCUGCAAUUGUCAUUUAAGAUGUGUUAUGAGUUGAAUGUUGUUUUCAAUGACGUGAUGACAGAUAUCUGUAAUUCAGUUUUGCCUAGUGAAAACUAAAUUACAGAUAUCUCUAUCUGACGUUUCGACUAGUCACAAUUACGUUACAGAUAUCUUGAAUGACAAUUCCAACUAUCAAAAAUGUAAUUGUGAAUAUAGUCAGAAAGACGUUGUUGAUAUUUACAAUGUUAAUUCCGCAUAGUCAAACCAAAGUCCUUUUAGGCAAGUCCCUCCACUCGGCGGCCAUUUGACAACGCUUAUUGGGCA
Alosa alosa (allis shad) is the source of this 4033-nucleotide long non-coding RNA. RefSeq lists it as uncharacterized. The transcript is spliced from 4 exons. The record is from RefSeq and is a predicted model, not a curated record. NCBI's taxonomy places the organism in Eukaryota, Metazoa, Chordata, Actinopteri, Clupeiformes, Clupeidae.